Molecule: ribosomal RNA, 291 nt
Filed under: uncultured prokaryote
Description: partial 16S ribosomal RNA
Rfam family: Archaeal small subunit ribosomal RNA
Source: RNAcentral
GUCAGCAGCCGCGGUAAUACCGGCAGUCCGAGUGAUGGCCGAUCUUAUUGGGCCUAAAGCGUCCGUAGCUGGCUGAACAAGUCCGUUGGGAAAUCUGUCCGCUUAACGGGCAGGCGUCCAGCGGAAACUGUUCAGCUUGGGACCGGAAGACCUGAGGGGUACGUCUGGGGUAGGAGUGAAAUCCUGUAAUCCUGGACGGACCGCCGGUGGCGAAAGCGCCUCAGGAGAACGGAUCCGACAGUGAGGGACGAAAGCCAGGGUCUCGAACCGGAUUAGAUACCCCGGUAGUCC